This 253-nucleotide ribosomal RNA is filed under the name uncultured bacterium. RNAcentral's name for it is "partial 16S ribosomal RNA". It matches the Rfam family "Bacterial small subunit ribosomal RNA", at positions 524 to 776 of the family's 1533-position model. The record is from RNAcentral.
GACAGAGGGUGCAAACGUUGCUCGGAAUCACUGGGCGUAAAGCGCACGUAGGCGGAUUGCUAAGUCAGGGGUGAAAUCCUGGAGCUCAACUCCAGAACUGCCUUUGAUACUGGCGAUCUCGAGUCCGGGAGAGGUGAGUGGAACUGCGAGUGUAGAGGUGAAAUUCGUAGAUAUUCGGAAGAACACCAGUGGCGAAGGCGGCUCACUGGCCCGGUACUGACGCUGAGGUGCGAAAGCGUGGGGAGCAAACAGG